GACGAACGCUGGCGGCGUGCUUAACACAUGCAAGUCGAACGGAAAGGCCCUGCUUUUGUGGGGUGCUCGAGUGGCGAACGGGUGAGUAACACGUGAGUAACCUGCCCUUGACUUUGGGAUAACUUUAGGAAACUGGGGCUAAUACCGGAUAGGAGCUCCUGCUGCAUGGUGGGGGUUGGAAAGUUUCGGCGGUUGGGGAUGGACUCGCGGCGUAUUAGCUUGUUGGUGGGGUAGUGGCUUACCAAGGCUUUGACGGGUAGCCGGCCUGAGAGGGUGACCGGCCCGCCUGGAACGGAGCAACGGGCCAGACUCCUACGGGAGUCAGCAGCAGGGAACCGUCUGCAACGGGCGAGAGCCUGACGGAACAACGCCGGGUGGGUGAUGACGGCAUCGGGAUCGUAAAGAUGGGUGAGUAGGGAAGAAAAAACGUGUACGUAACUAUGCAAGCAUGGACGGUACCGAAUAAGAAAGCAACGGCUAACUACUAC
Molecule: ribosomal RNA, 488 nt
Filed under: uncultured bacterium
Lineage: Bacteria
Description: partial 16S ribosomal RNA
Rfam family: Bacterial small subunit ribosomal RNA
Source: RNAcentral